RNAcentral lists this transfer RNA (92 nucleotides) under Acidobacteriota bacterium. Its description in RNAcentral is "Acidobacteria bacterium tRNA-Ser". It matches the Rfam family "tRNA". Rfam says of the family: Transfer RNA (tRNA) molecules are approximately 80 nucleotides in length. Their secondary structure includes four short double-helical elements and three loops (D, anti-codon, and T loops). Lineage: Bacteria; Pseudomonadati; Acidobacteriota. The record is from RNAcentral. RNAcentral also lists the same sequence under 1 other name.
GGAGAGGUGCUGGAGUGGUUGAACAGGGCUGCCUGCUAAGCAGUUGUGCUGGGUAACCGGCACCGGGGGUUCGAAUCCCCCCCUCUCCGCCA